This 441-nucleotide ribosomal RNA is filed under the name uncultured bacterium. Its description in RNAcentral is "bacterial SSU rRNA". It matches the Rfam family "Bacterial small subunit ribosomal RNA", at positions 955 to 1395 of the family's 1533-position model. The record is from RNAcentral.
AUUAACGCGAAGAACCUUACCAAGGCUUGACAUGUGCCAGACCGCUCCAGAGAUGGGGUUUCCCUUCGGGGCUGGUUCACAGGUGGUGCAUGGUUGUCGUCAGCUCGUGUCGUGAGAUGUUGGGUUAAGUCCCGCAACGAGCGCAACCCUCGUUCCAUGUUGCCAGCACGUAGUGGUGGGGACUCAUGGGAGACUGCCGGGGUCAACUCGGAGGAAGGUGGGGAUGACGUCAAAUCAUCAUGCCCCUUAUGUCUUGGGCUUCACGCAUGCUACAAUGGCCGGUACAAUGGGUUGCGAUACUGUGAGGUGGAGCUAAUCCCUAAAAGCCGGUCUCAGUUCGGAUUGGGGUCUGCAACUCGACCCCAUGAAGUCGGAGUCGCUAGUAAUCGCAGAUCAGCAACGCUGCGGUGAAUACGUUCCCGGGCCUUGUACACACCGAAU